UUUAUGGAGAGUUUGAUCCUGGCUCAGGAUGAACGCUGGCGGCGUGCCUAAUACAUGCAAGUCGAGCGAACGGACGAGAAGCUUGCUUCUCUGAUGUUAGCGGCGGACGGGUGAGUAACACGUGGAUAACCUACCUAUAAGACUGGGAUAACUUCGGGAAACCGGAGCUAAUACCGGAUAAUAUUUUGAACCGCAUGGUUCAAAAGUGAAAGACGGUCUUGCUGUCACUUAUAGAUGGAUCCGCGCUGCAUUAGCUAGUUGGUAAGGUAACGGCUUACCAAGGCAACGAUGCAUAGCCGACCUGAGAGGGUGAUCGGCCACACUGGAACUGAGACACGGUCCAGACUCCUACGGGAGGCAGCAGUAGGGAAUCUUCCGCAAUGGGCGAAAGCCUGACGGAGCAACGCCGCGUGAGUGAUGAAGGUCUUCGGAUCGUAAAACUCUGUUAUUAGGGAAGAACAUAUGUGUAAGUAACUGUGCACAUCUUGACGGUACCUAAUCAGAAAGCCACGGCUAACUACGUGCCAGCAGCCGCGGUAAUACGUAGGUGGCAAGCGUUAUCCGGAAUUAUUGGGCGUAAAGCGCGCGUAGGCGGUUUUUUAAGUCUGAUGUGAAAGCCCACGGCUCAACCGUGGAGGGUCAUUGGAAACUGGAAAACUUGAGUGCAGAAGAGGAAAGUGGAAUUCCAUGUGUAGCGGUGAAAUGCGCAGAGAUAUGGAGGAACACCAGUGGCGAAGGCGACUUUCUGGUCUGUAACUGACGCUGAUGUGCGAAAGCGUGGGGAUCAAACAGGAUUAGAUACCCUGGUAGUCCACGCCGUAAACGAUGAGUGCUAAGUGUUAGGGGGUUUCCGCCCCUUAGUGCUGCAGCUAACGCAUUAAGCACUCCGCCUGGGGAGUACGACCGCAAGGUUGAAACUCAAAGGAAUUGACGGGGACCCGCACAAGCGGUGGAGCAUGUGGUUUAAUUCGAAGCAACGCGAAGAACCUUACCAAAUCUUGACAUCCUUUGACAACUCUAGAGAUAGAGCUUUCCCCUUCGGGGACAAAGUGACAGGUGGUGCAUGGUUGUCGUCAGCUCGUGUCGUGAGAUGUUGGGUUAAGUCCCGCAACGAGCGCAACCCUUAAGCUUAGUUGCCAUCAUUAAGUUGGGCACUCUAAGUUGACUGCCGGUGACAAACCGGAGGAAGGUGGGAUGACGUCAAAUCAUCAUGCCCCUUAUGAUUUGGGCUACACACGUGCUACAAUGGACAAUACAAAGGGCAGCGAAACCGUGAGGUCAAGCAAAUCCCAUAAAGUUGUUCUCAGUUCGGAUUGUAGUCUGCAACUCGACUACAUGAAGCUGGAAUCGCUAGUAAUCGUAGAUCAGCAUGCUACGGUGAAUACGUUCCCGGGUCUUGUACACACCGCCCGUCACACCACGAGAGUUUGUAACACCCGAAGCCGGUGGAGUAACCUUUUAGGAGCUAGCCGUCGAAGGUGGGACAAAUGAUUGGGGUGAAGUCGUAACAAGGUAGCCGUAUCGGAAGGUGCGGCUGGAUCACCUCCUUUCU
RNAcentral lists this ribosomal RNA (1552 nucleotides) under Staphylococcus aureus. Its description in RNAcentral is "16S ribosomal RNA". It matches the Rfam family "Bacterial small subunit ribosomal RNA". The record is from RNAcentral. Lineage: Bacteria; Bacillati; Bacillota; Bacilli; Caryophanales; Staphylococcaceae.